This 71-nucleotide ribosomal RNA is filed under the name Eretmocerus mundus. RNAcentral's name for it is "partial 5.8S ribosomal RNA". It matches the Rfam family "5.8S ribosomal RNA", at positions 1 to 66 of the family's 154-position model. Rfam says of the family: 5.8S ribosomal RNA (5.8S rRNA) is a component of the large subunit of the eukaryotic ribosome. It is transcribed by RNA polymerase I as part of the 45S precursor that also contains 18S and 28S rRNA. RNAcentral also lists the same sequence under 1 other name. The record is from RNAcentral. Lineage: Eukaryota; Metazoa; Arthropoda; Insecta; Hymenoptera; Aphelinidae.
AUGAUUACCCUGAACGGUGGACCACUAGGCUCGUGGGUCGAUGAAGAACGCAGCUAAUUGCGCGUCAACUU